CCUACGGGGGGCAGCAGUGGGGAAUAUUGCACAAUGGGGGAAACCCUGAUGCAGCGACGCCGCGUGAGUGAAGAAGUAUUUCGGUACGUAAAGCUCUAUCAGCAGGGAAGAAAAUGACGGUAACUGACUAAGAAGCCCCGGCUAACUACGUGCCAGCAGCCGCGGUAAUACGUAGGGGGCAAGCGUUAUCCGGAUUUACUGGGUGUAAAGGGAGCGUAGACGGCAGCGCAAGUCUGGAGUGAAAUCCCAUGGCUUAACCAUGGGACUGCUUUGGAAACUGUGCAGCUAGAGUGCAGGAGAGGUAAGCGGAAUUCCUAGUGUAGCGGUGAAAUGCGUAGAUAUUAGGAGGAACACCAGUGGCGAAGGCGGCUUACUGGACUGUAACUGACGUUGAGGCUCGAAAGCGUGGGGAGCAAACAGGAUUAGAUACCCUGGUAGUC
RNAcentral lists this ribosomal RNA (440 nucleotides) under uncultured bacterium. RNAcentral describes it as "partial 16S ribosomal RNA". It matches the Rfam family "Bacterial small subunit ribosomal RNA", at positions 338 to 795 of the family's 1533-position model. The record is from RNAcentral.